UAAUCUGUUUGGAGUAGAUCCUCAUCUGGUUGUGGCAGAUUCAUACUUGACUGCUCAGAAUUACUUGUUACCGUAACCCAACCACAUCACUUUGUAUGCAUCAUUAACUAUCUGGAUACCAUUUCCAGCAAUUU
Molecule: non-coding RNA, 134 nt
Organism: Populus trichocarpa (black cottonwood)
Lineage: Eukaryota; Viridiplantae; Streptophyta; Magnoliopsida; Malpighiales; Salicaceae
Source: Rfam